GAACGGUAGCACAGAGAGCUUGCUCUUGGGUGACGAGUGGCGGACGGGUGAGUAAUGUCUGGGAAACUGCCCGAUGGAGGGGGAUAACUACUGGAAACGGUAGCUAAUACCGCAUAACGUCUUCGGACCAAAGUGGGGGACCUUCGGGCCUCACACCAUCGGAUGUGCCCAGAUGGGAUUAGCUAGUAGGUGGGGUAAUGGCUCACCUAGGCGACGAUCCCUAGCUGGUCUGAGAGGAUGACCAGCCACACUGGAACUGAGACACGGUCCAGACUCCUACGGGAGGCAGCAGUGGGGAAUAUUGCACAAUGGGCGCAAGCCUGAUGCAGCCAUGCCGCGUGUAUGAAGAAGGCCUUCGGGUUGUAAAGUACUUUCAGCGGGGAGGAAGGCGAUGGAGUUAAUAGCUUCAUCGAUUGACGUUACCCGCAGAAGAAGCACCGGCUAACUCCGUG
Molecule: ribosomal RNA, 452 nt
Filed under: uncultured bacterium
Lineage: Bacteria
Description: bacterial SSU rRNA
Rfam family: Bacterial small subunit ribosomal RNA
Source: RNAcentral